RNAcentral lists this ribosomal RNA (509 nucleotides) under uncultured bacterium. Its description in RNAcentral is "partial 16S ribosomal RNA". It matches the Rfam family "Bacterial small subunit ribosomal RNA", at positions 28 to 506 of the family's 1533-position model. The record is from RNAcentral.
GACGAACGCUGGCGGCGUGCUUAACACAUGCCAGUCGAACGAAGAGCGAUGGAAGCUUGCUUCUAUCAAUCUUAGUGGCGAACGGGUGAGUAACGCGUAAUCAACCUGCCCUUCAGAGGGGGACAACAGUUGGAAACGACUGCUAAUACCGCAUACGAUCUAACCUCGGCAUCGAGGAUAGAUGAAAGGUGGCCUCUACAUGUAAGCUAUCACUGAAGGAGGGGAUUGCGUCUGAUUAGCUAGUUGGAGGGGUAACGGCCCACCAAGGCGAUGAUCAGUAGCCGGUCUGAGAGGAUGAACGGCCACAUUGGGACUGAGACACGGCCCAGACUCCUACGGGAGGCAGCAGUGGGGAAUCUUCCGCAAUGGACGAAAGUCUGACGGAGCAACGCCGCGUGAGUGAUGACGGCCUUCGGGUUGUAAAGCUCUGUUAAUCGGGACGAAAGGCCUUCUUGCGAAUAGUUAGAAGGAUUGACGGUACCGGAAUAGAAAGCCACGGCUAACUACGU